UACCUGGUCGAUCCUGCCAGUAGCAUAUGCUUGUCUCAAAGAUUAAACUAUGUAUGUCUAAGUAUGCAUGGCCAGUACAGUGAAACUGGGAAUGGCUCAUUAAAUUGGUUAUGGUUCCUUUGGUCAUUCACUCCUUUCCUACUUGGAUAACUGUGGUUAUAUGAGAGCUAAUACAUGUCAACGGGCACUGACCCCCAUUGGGGGGCAGUGUGUGUAUUUAUCAGAUCAAAACAACCCAGUCAGCCUCCACCCAGCAGGGGUGGGGUGGGUGGACACCAGUGGCUUUGGUAACUCUAGGUAGCCUCCACAGAUUGCAUGCCCCCCCAGGGUUUAAUUCCCAAGAGGGAGCCUGAGAAAUGGCUACCACAUCUAAGUAAAGCAGCAGGCAUGCAAAUUACCCAAUCCCGACCAGGGGAGGUAGUGACAGAAAAUAACAAUACAGGACUCUUUCAAGGACCUGUAAUUGGAAUGAGUCCACUUUAAAUCCUUUAAUGAAGAUCCAUUGGAGGGCAAGUCUGGUGCCAGCAGCCAUGGUAAUUCCAGCUCCAAUACUGUAUAUUAAAGUUGCUGCAGUUAAAAAGCUCAUAGUUGGAUCUUGAGAGAGGAUGGGUGGUCAGACGCGAGGUGAGCCACCAUCCGUCCCCACCCCUUCCUCUUGGCUCCCCCUUGAUGCUCUUAGCUGAGUGUCCCAUGGCCCGAAGUGUUUACUUUGAAAAAAUUAAGAGUGUUCAAAGCAGGUCUGAGCUGCCUGGAUACUGCAGCUAGGAAUAAUGGAAUAGGACCGCGGUUCUAUUUUGUUGGUUUUCGGAACUGAGACUAUGAUUAAGAGAGAGGGCUCAGGGCAUUCAUAUUGCACAGCUAGAGUGAAAUUCUUGGACCGGCACAAGACUGACCAGAGAAAAAGCAUUUGCAAAGAAUGUUUUCAUUAAUCAAGAACGAAAGUCGGAGGUUCGAAGACGAUCAGAUACGGUCAUAAUUCUGACCAUAAACAAUGCCUACUGGCGGUGUGGUGGCAUUAUUCCCAUGACCCUCUGUCUGGGAAGCUUCCAGGUAACCAAAGUCUGUGUUCUGGGGGGAGUAUGGUUGCAAAGCUGAAACUUAAAUGAAUUGACAGAAGGGCACCACCAGGAGUGGAGCCUGCAGCUUAAUUUUACUCAACACGGAAAACCUCACCUGGCCUGGACUUGGACAGGAUUGACAGAUAGAUAGCUUUUUCUAAAUUCCAUGGGUGGUAGUGCAUGACCGUUCUGAGUUGGUGGAGCAAUUUGUCUGGUUAAUUCUGAUAACGAAUGAGACUCUUGCAUGCUAACUAGUUAUGCGACCCCUGAGCGGUUGGCGUCCCCUGACUUCUUAGAGAGACAAGUGGCGUUCAGCCACCCGAGAUUGAGCAAUAACAGGUCUCUGAUGCCCUUAGGUGUCCCGGGCUGCACAUGUGCACUACACUGACUGGAUCAGUCAGUGGACUGGAUCGGUGCCUACCCUAGGCUGGCAGGUGCAGGAAACUCAUUGAAUCCCAUUCUUGAUGGGGAUUGGGGAGUGCAAUUAUUCCUCAUGAACAAGUAAUUCCCAGUAAGUGCAGGUCAUAAGCUUGCAUUGAUUAAAUCUCUGCCCUUUGUACACACUCUACUACUGAUUGGAUAGUUUAGUGAGGCCCUCGGAUUGGUCCCACUAGGGUCAGCCCACAGCCCUGGCAGAGCUCUGAGAAGACAGUCAAACUUGACUAUCUAGAGGAAGUAAAAGUCCUAACAAGGUUUCCGUAGGUGAACUUGUGGAAAGAUCAUUA
Molecule: non-coding RNA, 1783 nt
Organism: Erinaceus europaeus (western European hedgehog)
Lineage: Eukaryota; Metazoa; Chordata; Mammalia; Eulipotyphla; Erinaceidae
Source: Rfam